GCGCGCGGAAAGAACAGCGAAGGAGAAAAGGCGGAUAAAGGCGAGAAACCGAAAAACAGAGGACUGAAGCGAGAAAACAGAAUCAAAAGGCACAAAACGCUGAUCAGAAUCGUGAAGUAUACAAAAAUAAGAAUCCAUAUAAUGCGGAGACAACAACAAUAAUGGUAACAGAAGCAACAGCAACAACGGUCAAACAUAAACAACAACAGUAAACACUCGAAGAAAUCAACUGUGCAAUUUUUGAAAUAAAUAACCAAGUAUUAUAUAAAAAAUAAUGCAAAAUUUGUCAAGUGACGGCGGCCAAAGUUGCUCAAUAUGAGCAAUAAAAGCAGCAGCGACCACGACGGCGAUACAGCUGCCCCACAACAACAAAAACAACAACAACAACAACAACGACGACUGCAACUGCAACAACAACAAAUGAAAAUUGGAAAAGUGCAGCAACGCAAAUGAUGCGCAUAUGAAAAAAGAAGAGAAAAUCAAAAUAGCAAAAAGAAAUCCAGCCAAAAAAAAGAAAUUAAAUAUUAAUUUUUUCCUCCCCUCCAAUUGCCUGGCAAUAUCUAAUUGUUUAUAUAUAUA
This 579-nucleotide small RNA is filed under the name Drosophila yakuba. RNAcentral's name for it is "GE27641". Lineage: Eukaryota; Metazoa; Arthropoda; Insecta; Diptera; Drosophilidae. The record is from RNAcentral.